UUGGUAGUGGUUUUGGGUGGAAACGCGUGGCAGUCAUCUUGGUUGUGGCAGGAGUUCAAGUACUGCCUGACAACCAGGGAAAAGUCUACCUGCAUUUGGAGCUGGAUUUACUGUGGUAUCACGUGCGAAGAAACGGUGAAGUCGCUGAUGCGUCCAGCUGAUCCUGAAGAGACAACCGGACCAACCUAGUUGGGGGAGAUGCUAAAAACUUCUGGCCUGCAUUGCUGAAAACUCCCAGCCGCUGCUGUGCAGAUCUGUCUCCGACUAUGGGAAAGUGGACCAGAGGGGAUUUCCGGCCUGAAAGGUUAGGGUUGGAGAGCAUGCAGCUGGUAAGAUCGCUCCCUGCUCAGCACCGGGCUGCUCAGAAAAGACAACCAGCCAGAGAAUGCCUUCUGCCUCAGGUUCUCCGUUUGUAAGACCAGCCUGGCAUGUUCAGGGGCUCCCUGGGACGGACAAGGGGUCUUGGUUGGAGGGUUGCCCGGAAGCCCAGAGCGGAGGUGACCCGCAGGGCCUGAUCCAGAGCUGGAGGCACCGAGAGGCACUGAGGGUUAGGGUCGGAGUGACCUUAACCUUUCACCUGGAAGGCCCUUCCUCAAGGGAACUGGCUGGUCUGGGGAGCCUGUUUCUGUCGCACAGUGGCUGGUACCUGCCACACUGUACAUCUGCACUUCCUAGAAGCAUUGUUCUCCAAGAAAUGAGGAUUCCUGCGAAAAUGAAAUCACAGCAAUGGAGUUACUGUGAAUAUUUUAUGAACACAUGCGGUGCUCAUUCAGCACACGUGGUCGGACUCCCCCUAUUCAAGGCCUGGAGACGUGGCAGGGAGAGAAACACAAGACAGGAAAGGCUGGGGCCUGUGGGGCACACAGACCAUCAGAGGGAACAGAGGGACAUUGAAGAUUGGAAAGCAUUACUGCUACCCCAACAAUGAGAAAAAAAGAGAUGUUAUCUUCCUGAAAAGCGAAUAGCCUGACACCCAUGGAAAGACAGUCUCUAAAAAGAUGAGAUCCACACACUGCCCCUCUAUACAUCGCAGGAAGGAGAGAUACCAGGUGCUGUAUGCACAGGAACAAGAUAAAAUUCUCUGACAAACUGCUGAAGGCCAAGUGUGGGUGAAAAGACAGAAUCCCUGGGAGCCACAAACACAAGGAGAGCAGACACCCACUCUCAGGUUCUCA
This 1175-nucleotide long non-coding RNA is filed under the name Heterocephalus glaber (naked mole-rat). RNAcentral describes it as "lncRNA (ENSHGLG00100046787.1)". Lineage: Eukaryota; Metazoa; Chordata; Mammalia; Rodentia; Bathyergidae. The record is from RNAcentral.